RNAcentral lists this ribozyme (73 nucleotides) under unclassified sequences. Its description in RNAcentral is "HDV ribozyme from F. prausnitzii". It matches the Rfam family "HDV ribozyme from F. prausnitzii". The record is from RNAcentral.
GCCGCUCGAAACUUUGCACACCUCUUCGUGGUGAGCGGCAGGCAACGAUCUUACGGUCGGCUGAGAUGCAUGG